RNAcentral lists this ribosomal RNA (500 nucleotides) under uncultured bacterium. RNAcentral describes it as "partial 16S ribosomal RNA". It matches the Rfam family "Bacterial small subunit ribosomal RNA", at positions 29 to 523 of the family's 1533-position model. The record is from RNAcentral.
AUUGAACGCUGGCGGCAUGCCUUACACAUGCAAGUCGAACGGCAGCACGGGAGCAAUCCUGGUGGCGAGUGGCGAACGGGUGAGUAAUAUAUCGGAGCGUGCCCAGUCGUGGGGGAUAACGCAGCGAAAGCUGUGCUAAUACCGCAUACGAUCUACGGAUGUGAGCGGGGGAGAGCAAGGCCUCGCGCGAUUGGGGGAGGCGAUAGCAGAUUAGCUAGUUGGUGGGGUAAAGGGCCACCAAGGCGACGAUCUGUAGCUGGUCUGAGAGGACGACCAGCCACACUGGAACUGAGGCACGGUCCAGACUCCUACGGGAGGCAGCAGUGGGGAAUUUUGGACAAUGGGCGCAAGCCUGAUCCAGCAAUGCCGCGUGCAGGAUGAAGGCCUUCGGGUUGUAAACUGCUUUUGUACGGAACGAAACGGCCCUUUCUAAUACAGGGGGCUAAUGACGGUACCGUAAGAAUAAGCACCGGCUAACUACGUGCCAGCCGCCGCAGUAA